GCUGAACUUAAGCAUAUCAAUAAGCGGAGGAAAAGAAACUAACAAGGAUUCCCCUAGUAACUGCGAGUGAAGCGGGAUAAGCUCAAAUUUAAAAUCUGGUGGUCUUUGGCCGCCCGAGUUGUAGUCUGGAGAAGUGCUUUCUGUGCUGGACCGUGUACAAGUCUCUUGGAACAGAGCGUCAUAGAGGGUGAGAAUCCCGUCUUUGACACGGACUACCAGUGCUUUGUGAUGCGCUCUCAAAGAGUCGAGUUGUUUGGGAAUGCAGCUCAAAAUGGGUGGUGAAUUCCAUCUAAAGCUAAAUAUUGGCGAGAGACCGAUAGCGAACAAGUACCGUGAGGGAAAGAUGAAAAGCACUUUGGAAAGAGAGUUAAACAGUACGUGAAAUUGCUGAAAGGGAAACGCUUGAAGUCAGUCGCGUUGUUCAGAACUCAGCCUUGCUUCUGCUUGGUGCAUUUUCUGACUAACGGGCCAGCAUCGAUUCUGACCGUCGGAAAAGGGCCAGAGUAAUGUGGCACCUCCGGGUGUGUUAUAGACUUUGGUCACAUACGGCGGUCGGGAUCGAGGAAUGCAGCGCGCCGCAAGGCAGGGGUUCGCCCACUUUCGGUUGAGACCUCUGUCGUGGAGGGCAUUGACGCCCGGACCUGACGUUCUCUAAAGGAUCCGCGGUAGAGCAUGUAUGUUGGGACCCGAAAGAUGGUGAACUAUGCCUGAAUAGGGUGAAGCCAGAGGAAACUCUGGUGGAGGCUCGUAGCGAUUCUGACGUGCAAAUCGAUCGUCAAAUUUGGGUAUAGGGGCGAAAGACUA
RNAcentral lists this ribosomal RNA (804 nucleotides) under Perenniporia medulla-panis. RNAcentral's name for it is "eukaryotic LSU rRNA". It matches the Rfam family "Eukaryotic large subunit ribosomal RNA", at positions 27 to 933 of the family's 3401-position model. The record is from RNAcentral. Lineage: Eukaryota; Fungi; Basidiomycota; Agaricomycetes; Polyporales; Polyporaceae.